Molecule: ribosomal RNA, 164 nt
Filed under: Euphorbia boetica
Lineage: Eukaryota; Viridiplantae; Streptophyta; Magnoliopsida; Malpighiales; Euphorbiaceae
Description: 5.8S ribosomal RNA
Rfam family: 5.8S ribosomal RNA
About the family: 5.8S ribosomal RNA (5.8S rRNA) is a component of the large subunit of the eukaryotic ribosome. It is transcribed by RNA polymerase I as part of the 45S precursor that also contains 18S and 28S rRNA. Functionally, it is thought that 5.8S rRNA may be involved in ribosome translocation.
Source: RNAcentral
AGAACGACUCUCGGCAACGGAUAUCUCGGCUCUCGCAUCGAUGAAGAACGCAGCGAAAUGCGAUACUUGGUGUGAAUUGCAGGAUCCCGCGAACCAUCGAGUCUUUGAACGCAAGUUGCGCCCGAAGCCUUCUGGCCGAGGGCACGUCUGCCUGGGUGUCACUC